GACGAACGCUGGCGGCGUGCUUAACACAUGCAAGUCGAACGAUGACGCCCGAGCUUGCUCGGUCUGAUUAGUGGCGAACGGGUGAGUAACACGUGAGCAACCUGCCCUUCACUCUGGGAUAACCUCGGGAAAUCGGGGCUAAUACCGGAUAUGAGCUCCUGUCGCAUGGCGGGGGUUGGAAAGUUUUUCGGUGGAGGAUGGGCUCGCGGCCUAUCAGUUUGUUGGUGAGGUAGUGGCUCACCAAGGCGAUGACGGGUAGCCGGCCUGAGAGGGCGACCGGCCACACUGGGACUGAGACACGGCCCAGACUCCUACGGGAGGCAGCAGUGGGGAAUAUUGCACAAUGGGCGAAAGCCUGAUGCAGCGACGCCGCGUGAGGGAUGACGGCCUUCGGGUUGUAAACCUCUUUCAGCAGGGAAGAAGCGAAAGUGACGGUACCUGCAGAAGAAGCGCCGGCUAACUACGUG
RNAcentral lists this ribosomal RNA (467 nucleotides) under uncultured bacterium. Its description in RNAcentral is "partial 16S ribosomal RNA". It matches the Rfam family "Bacterial small subunit ribosomal RNA", at positions 28 to 507 of the family's 1533-position model. The record is from RNAcentral.